AAUAUUGCGCAAUGGAGGAAACUCUGACGCAGCGACGCCGCGUGAGCGAUGAAGGUCUUCGGAUCGUAAAGCUCUGUCCUCAGGGAAGAAGAAAGUGACGGUACCUGAGGAGGAAGCCCCGGCUAACUACGUGCCAGCAGCCGCGGUAAUACGUAGGGGGCAAGCGUUGUCCGGAAUUAUUGGGCGUAAAGGGUGCGUAGGCGGCCUUCUAAGUCUGAUGUGAAAUCUCGUAGCUUAACUACGAACGGUCAUUGGAAACUGGGAGACUUGAGUACAGAAGAGGAGAGUGGAAUUCCACGUGUAGCGGUGAAAUGCGUAGAGAUGUGGAGGAACACCAGUGGCGAAGGCGACUCUCUGGUCUGUAACUGACGCUGAGGAGCGAAAGCGUGGGGAGCAAAC
Molecule: ribosomal RNA, 399 nt
Filed under: uncultured bacterium
Lineage: Bacteria
Description: partial 16S ribosomal RNA
Rfam family: Bacterial small subunit ribosomal RNA
Source: RNAcentral